AAAAUAGUUAACUUAAUUACAUUCAAAAGCGAUACAAACACAAGUAUUUGAUUAAAUAAAAAGCUAUUUUACAGUGUUUUGGAGGCGGAGGCAGAGGCAGAGGCUCUCUACCACUCUUGCCACCUCAUUAACCCCUCAGGCUUCCACACUAGCUGCAGGCACCACCUUCAUCCAGCUGCAGUACACCAUGAUUCCCACUCCAAGGUGGAUUCCUCCCCGGUUUGUAUCAAACUAUUGUUGGAUUCCAGGUUCCCCAUCCUUCAAAGAUGUGGUAUAACGACUGGAAGAGCCACUUCAUCAUUGAUCUAGCACUUCAUGAUUAUCUCUUCAGGGCCUUCAAGACUAGAGUAAUCAAGCUACUCUAGAUAGGACACGUACUUGGAUGUCCUUACAGGGAAGAUGCAACUCAUUCAAUGGCAAGUCAGUGAAUUCCAAGGCAAGUAGAUUAUCAGCUAAGGAUGGCUUAGUUCAUUGUGGUCAGUCAAUCACCAAAGGAGGUAAGUCAACAAGUUGCUUAUAUACUACAACUAAUUGAUAAGCAAUUAAUCAUACCAAUUACCAGGUUAUAAAUUUCCAAUUCCAGCCAAGAAGCUGAACUGGAAGCCUAUCUGGUUAAGUCUUCAAGCAGGUUCACAUGAGAAAUGUUCCAAAGUUUUGAAAUUUAAUACUACAAGCCAUUUCUUUCCCUUGCUUCUGCUCUAAAAUCCCUACUCACAAACAACCCUUAGAUUUCUCAUAGUAAAAUAAUGUUAUCAAUAUUUCAUUAGAUCAAGUGAAUCAAAAUUUAUUCCUUUAGAAAAUAAUAUAAGAUCUCAAGUUUAAGUCUUGUAUAUAAGGAGGGAGGGAGGGAGAACAACCUUUGUGGAACAAAUCAAUUAAUUCCUAUUUAACUUUAAUACUAGAGGACCAAAAAAAAAAGAAGAAGAAAACAGUGAUAAUAAUCGGCUAUACACACUUUCAAAUGCGCCACCGCUACAUGUGCAUAAUGUUCAGUGUUAAUAUCGUUCAACUUGUUUCUUUUUUCUUAAUUUUUUCCUUAAUUCAAGCUCUAAUUUCACCCAAAUGCAUUCCCUAAUGUAAUUGCCACAACCAAUGGAAGAAAAAAAGUGCUAUGAAUCAAC
Arachis stenosperma is the source of this 1121-nucleotide long non-coding RNA. RefSeq lists it as uncharacterized. The transcript has 3 exons. The record is from RefSeq and is a predicted model, not a curated record. Lineage: Eukaryota; Viridiplantae; Streptophyta; Magnoliopsida; Fabales; Fabaceae.